GACGAACGCUGGCGGCGUGCUUAACACAUGCAAGUCGAACGGAAAGGCCCUGCUUUUGUGGGGUGCUCGAGUGGCGAACGGGUGAGUAACACGUGAGUAACCUGCCCUUGACUUUGGGAUAACUUCAGGAAACUGGGGCUAAUACCGGAUAGGAGCUCCUGCUGCAUGGUGGGGGUUGGAAAGUUUCGGCGGUUGGGGAUGGACUCGCGGCUUAGCAGCUUGUUGGUGGGGUAGUGGCUUACCAAGGCUUUGACGGGGAGCCGGCCUGAGAGGGUGACCGGCCACAUUGGGACGGAGAUACGGCCCAGACGCCGACGGGAGGCAGGAGUGGGGAAUAGUGGACAAAGGGCGGAAGCCUGAGGCAGCAACGCCGGGUGCGGGAUGACGGCCUUCGGGUUGUAAACCGCUUUCGCCUGUGACGAAGCGGGAGUGACGGUAAUGGGUAAAGAAGCACCGGCUAACUACGUG
Molecule: ribosomal RNA, 468 nt
Filed under: uncultured bacterium
Lineage: Bacteria
Description: partial 16S ribosomal RNA
Rfam family: Bacterial small subunit ribosomal RNA
Source: RNAcentral